UUUUUUUUUUAAUAGAGAAGCAUUUAGAUAGAAAGGAGACACUGAGCUGUUGUUAAGCAAGCAAGUAAAAUCAUGUCAGUCCUGUAACUGUGCCUUUGCCUUCCCUUUCUUCUUAUUCUGUAUAAAGGCAGCCUAUAAAAAGGGUUUCCCUACAGCAUUUGCCUUACCUUAAAGCCUUUUUUAAGACCUCAGCCAGGAGGGUUACUUGAGCAGCUGUUUCAGCUUGAAAAUGAAGCACGGGGGCACACCAAAUGUGUAGGUGACUUACUGUUCUUCAGGUGGUCCUGAAAGAAACCUGACUGAUCACAGUGGGAACUUGGAAUAGUGAGUCCUCUCAGAAUACUUGCUCCCCGAGCCCAGUCGGACACCACCAAUGCAACAAAGCCUGUCUGCUGUGGUGGCACACACAAUACAUCGAGAUGCACUUGAGACCCUCAGGCUGUGGAUGUCAACAGGUUCCCACACAGCAAAAGUAAAGUUCAGCCUGAGCAGUAACUGUAAUCUGUGAAAGCUAUUUGGCUUGGCACUGUAUUUAUUACUUUCUUCAUACUGCUGGUUUCUCAGCAUUUCCAGUGUUUGCUCUUCCACUCAGCUGUUGUACCUCCCUUCACAGAAAACUGAGCUCCUGUUUGUGUGGCAAGCAUAUUUGAAUGAUUGUCUUCAGAGUCCCCAGCUGUAGUUUUUCACCUCCUACAUACCUGUGUUAUAAUGACUCUAUUGAAGUAGAGAGUGUAUCUGUGUAACAAAUACAAGACAAGGAGCAAGGGGCAGAAACUGAUGCACAGGAAGUUCCACCAGAUUAUAAGGAAGAACUUGUCCCUGUGCGAGUGACCGAGCACUGGAGCAGAUUGCACAGAGAGGGUGUGGAGUCUCCCUCACUGGAGAUUCUCAAGAACCGUCUGGACACGAUCCUGUGGAUCCAGGAUGACCCUGCUUGAGCAGGGUUGGACCAGAUGUUCCACUGUGGUCCCUUCCAACCUGACCUGUUCUGCGAUUCUGUGAAGUAGAAACAAACAAAAAAAAAAACAA
Molecule: long non-coding RNA, 1029 nt
Organism: Ficedula albicollis (Collared flycatcher)
Lineage: Eukaryota; Metazoa; Chordata; Aves; Passeriformes; Muscicapidae
Exons: 2
Source: RefSeq, a predicted model, not a curated record